AUUGAACGCUGGCGGCAGGCCUAACACAUGCAAGUCGAACGAGUGGCGGACGGGUGAGUAAUGUCUGGGAAACUGCCUGAUGGAGGGGGAUAACUACUGGAAACGGUAGCUAAUACCGCAUACCAUCAGAUGUGCCCAGAUGGGAUUAGCUUGUUGGUGGGGUAACGGCUCACCAAGGCGACGAUCCCUAGCUGGUCUGAGAGGAUGACCAGCCACCCUGGAACUGAGACACGGGCGCGAGCCCUACGGGAGACAACAGUGGGGAGUAUUGCACAAUGGGCGAAAGCCUGAUGCAGCCAGGGCUCGUGUAUGAAGAAGGCCUUCGGGUUGUAAAGUACUUUCAGCGGGGAGGCGUUACCCGGAGAAGAAUCUCCGGCUAACUCCUUGCCAGCAGCCGCGGUAAUUC
Molecule: ribosomal RNA, 406 nt
Filed under: uncultured bacterium
Lineage: Bacteria
Description: partial 16S ribosomal RNA
Rfam family: Bacterial small subunit ribosomal RNA
Source: RNAcentral